Molecule: ribosomal RNA, 819 nt
Filed under: uncultured Burkholderiales bacterium
Lineage: Bacteria; Pseudomonadati; Pseudomonadota; Betaproteobacteria; Burkholderiales
Description: bacterial SSU rRNA
Rfam family: Bacterial small subunit ribosomal RNA
Source: RNAcentral
GUCGAACGGCAGCGGGUCCUUCGGGAUGCCGGCGAGUGGCGAACGUGUGAGUAAUGUAUCGGAACGUGCCCAGUAGCGGGGGAUAACUACGCGAAAGAGGGGCUAAUACCGCAUACGCCCUUAGGGGGAAAGGCGGGGAUCCUUCGGGACCUGUCACUAUUGGAGCGGCCGAUAUCGGAUUAGCUGGUUGGUGGGGUAAUGGCCUACCAAGGCGACGAUCCGUAGCUGGUUUGAGAGGACGACCAGCCACACUGGGACUGAGACACGGCCCAGACUCCUACGGGAGGCAGCAGUGGGGAAUUUUGGACAAUGGGGGCAACCCUGAUCCAGCCAUCCCGCGUGUGCGAUGAAGGCCUUCGGGUUGUAAAGCACUUUUGGCAGGGAAGAAAUUGCCUGGGUUAAUAGCCUGGGCCGAUGACGGUACCUGCAGAAUAAGCACCGGCUAACUACGUGCCAGCAGCCGCGGUAAUACGUAGGGUGCGAGCGUUAAUCGGAAUUACUGGGCGUAAAGCGUGCGCAGGCGGUUCGGAAAGAGAGAUGUGAAAUCCCAGGGCUCAACCUUGGAACUGCAUUUUUAACUACCGGGCUAGAGUGUGUCAGAGGGGGGUGGCAUUCCGCGUGUAGCAGUGAAAUGCGUAGAGAUGCGGAGGAACACCGAUGGCGAAGGCAGCCCCCUGGGAUAACACUGACGCUCAUGCACGAAAGCGUGGGUAGCAAACAGGAUUAGAUACCCUGGUAGUCCACGCCCUAAACGAUGUCAACUAGCUGUUGGGGCUUUCGGGCCUUGGUAGCGCAGCUAACGCGUGAAGUUGACCGCCU